GGUGCGCUGCGCUCCGCGGCGCCGUGCGCAGGGCGCGCGCUGCGCUCCCGCGCUGGCCGCGCGGCGGUGGCGGCUCGCGCCCCCGCGCCCCUCCCAGCUCGCCUCUGCGGCGCGGAGAGAGCGGCAGGACCUCCUUCCCUGGGAAGGCGGCUGCAGGGCGCGGGCGGCACUCGCGGGAGUAGUUUGGGGAAGAGGUGGAGAAGGUGCUGGAACUGCGCUGUGCCUCUGCCCCGCUGGAGGGGCGGGGAGGAGCCAGCCUGACGGGCCUGGGAUCAGCUGUGUGUCUGGCUGUUGGGAGUGAGCGUGUGUGUGUGUGUGUCUGUGUUUGUGUGUGCCCAGGGCGGCUGCCUCCCUCCCCUUAAAAAAAAAACACGUGGUGGGGAAAACUUAGAGCCCGUCCCCUCUCUGCGGCAGCAGCGGGCGCUGUCGUGGGUGGCAGCGGGCCGCUGAGAGCAUUCCAGCGGAGCCGGCCUGUGGGGCAGGCUGCGGCUCCGCAGCGGCGCCGAGGCUGCCCGCAGCCCCUCGCGGUGCAGGGCUGCUCGGCAGCGGCGGGUGGAACGGGCCGGGGGAGGAACCGCGGUUGAUUUCUUUUGUUGUGUAUUACCCCAGCCAUGACAAUUUGCAAGUGGAAGCAGUCUUACAGCCUCAGACAAGCCUCUGUGGAACAGCUGCUCACGCAGGAUUGUCCUUGUACUUCAGCAGCAUUGCCUGCAGAAUUUAACACUUGUCAUGUUUACAGAUCUCCAGCUUGAAACCUAAACAGAGCAGGGGGAAUGACUUUGAUUCUUCAACACCCACAGAUUGGACAAAGGGACUUGAGAGAAAUGGGAAGCUUUACUGCCAGUGAAGACUGAGGCAAAGCACUUGCUUGAAUUCCACUCUUGCAAAGUUCGGGGUCUUCAUUUUGCUCCUUGCCAGGCCCAAACUCCUUGAGAUCAUGAACUCAGCCAGGGUGGUUGUUACAGCCAAGGCUGCUUUUGAUCUUAACUCCUUUGAUGUGCUCAUCCACCGCAUUGCACAUCUGCCCAGCUGUGCUCUGCUUUGCUGCUGCUGCUCCUCCUCCUCCUGCUUGCAAGCACACGUGAGCCUGGAUGUCUCUUUGGAAGAUGCAGCUGAAAAUUGUUGGCUGUCCUAAUUGAUGGGGUCUCCUCCAGCACUCAGCUCAGAAACCCAAUCAGUAUUCAGACAGCAGAAGCAAAAAAACAAGGUGUAACUUUCCACUGACUUCAAUGGACCCUGCUUGCAGACCAUUGUAAAAUGAGCACCUCUUACCUCCUCACAGGUGGCAUGAAGAAAGUGCUGAAGAUGUCAGAGAGGCUCUUUGGUGUGAAUGCAAUUGUUGCAUGUCUGUCAGGCUGCAUCAGUGCUGUGGGUGGUAGGGAGCACAGGCUGGGGCUGCAUGCUGAGAAAGGAGCCCUUGCUCUGGCUGCUGUGUCCCUUGACCUGUUACACCAUGGGCGAGGUACAGCCCUUGCUUUAGCAGCACUCUCUGGCAGUAACAUCUACAUACAUACACACGCCACUUUAUGGGAGAUACUAAUGUGUGAGGCACUUCCCUUGAUUCAGUUCUCAGAUUAUAAUAUAUGUGUAGGGCCACAGUUUAUCUUCUCCAGAUCUAAUUAUUGAAAUUCAAGAACCCCAUUUAUUUCAAGUAAUGAAAUAGGAAAAUUCUACUGGCAUUAUGGUUCUUGGCUGAAGACCUCUAACAAAUGUGAUGCUUCUCCUUUCCCUUCCAAGUAGGGUGGUGGGUCAUUCAGUUUGCAGGAGAAAAAAGACCAGAUGGUGGUAAAUGUCUUUACUAUAUGAUGUCUGUUUGUAUGAAAGGUUUUUAUUUUUUUUAUUCUUUAAUUUCUGUGAAUUCCAUUUUAUUCCCCUCUGUUUUAAAUAAAUUGAAUAGCAAGAUUUGUAUAUACAUUUAACCACUAUUUAAUGAAAAGCCUGCAGUUCAUACCUGUGAUCCAUGACGUAUGGUGCUGCCACAGGAAAAGUAGCUAGCGUUGUUACAGACCUUCAUCUUAAUUAUGAAAAUUUUUUAUUUAAAUAUAGAGCUGAGCAUACAAAAUACAGCACUAGGCCAUCUGUUAGUUUUCCAUCUGGACUCAUUUGCAAAAUACUCUCUGUUUCCCUCCUAAACACUAUUUAUAAUCUUCCUUGAAAAAAAGUAUGACUAAUCUAUGGCACACCAGAGAUAGCUAUUUGAAUGCCACUUUUAAUAGAAGUGGCUAUGUAGUUCAAAGUAGUAGCAAAAUAUAUUUAUUUUGUUUUGCAUGCAGGUGUAAAAGCUCACAUGACUUCUAGACACACAAAAAUUUUUUUUCCUAUCAUACUGUUUUUAACUAGCAAAAAGUAAAAUCUUCAAGAUUUCUGAUUCAAUGGAAAAGUUACAAAUGAGAAUGAACAGUUAGCAUUUUGAAGUGCCUGACCAGGACUUUUGCAGUGAUUCUGAAGUGGCUUGCUGAGUCUGAAACAUCCCCAGAGGCCUGAUUUCUGAAGAUGAGCACUCAGAUUAUACUUAGCAUAAAGCAUCAUCUGAGCAGAAUAUUGCAUUACUGUAAUUGCUAGUUGUUUGGUCCAAACCCACGUCUCCUAGACCAGUAAAAGGGUGGGCAAUGGGUCUGGCAAAGCAGCAGUUGCAGGGAGCUCACUGGAAGCCCCCUGGAAGGCACAUGCAUGGUGGCGCUGAUUUCAUGGUGCCUUCUAAAGCCGUCUGUGGGCCACCAGAGCCACCAACAAUCACCUGCUAGGAGUUAUCUCCUAUUUUCUCUCUCCACUCAGCAUCAUAGAGCAGUGAAAACCUCAUUCCCUGGAGGCUAUUCCCUAGUCAUUCUUUUACACCUCUGAGUCAGGCAUCCUGAAGUACCUUCUCAGGUCCUCCUCCAUCGCCUAACAUGUCAUCUUUGGCCAAACUCUACUUCACAGUUGCCAGAGUGGAAAGCAAAAAGGGGCUUAUUUCAAGGGUUUUGAAGAGCAAUUAUUCAGUAAUAUCUUACUCUCCUCUUCCCCUUCUCUUUAUUUUUCAGAGAACAGAAAUAUGUUUUUAGACACCCCUGCUUGUUUUAAUUUUCCAUAAAAAGGCAAAGGCUGAUUUCUCCUGACUAACUUGCAUGCAAAGUUCUGAAGAAGUUCUUUGCAGGGUAAUGUUAAGUCAUCUUUGGGAUUUUGGGUUGGUUUGUUUCUUUGUUUUUGUUUUUGUUUUGUUUUUUUGUUUUGUUUUUGUUUUUGUUUUUGUUUU
Passer montanus (Eurasian tree sparrow) is the source of this 3232-nucleotide long non-coding RNA. RefSeq lists it as uncharacterized. The transcript has 7 exons. The record is from RefSeq and is a predicted model, not a curated record. Lineage: Eukaryota; Metazoa; Chordata; Aves; Passeriformes; Passeridae.